AGCCGGCGUCAGCGGCCGCACGCCGCGGAGCCGGGGUUCCGAGGUCCCGGGAUUACGGUGCUCGAGCACGCUGGUGGGAAAGGACCCGGGACUUGAACAGUGUUGUGCGGCGCCAUGCAGGUCUCCAGCCUCAAUGAGGUGAAGAUUUACAGCCUCAGCUGCGGCAAGUCCCUUCCUGAGAUGUCCGUAGGAGAAUUGAACUUAUUCAGGACUUUGAAAUGCCUACUGUAUGUACCACUAUUAAGGUGUCAAAAGAUGGACAGUACAUUUUAGCAACUGGAACAUAUAAACCUCGGGUUCGAUGUUAUGACACCUAUCAAUUAUCCUUGAAGUUUGAAAGGUGUUUAGAUUCAGAAGUUGUCACCUUUGAAAUUUUGUCUGAUGACUACUCAAAGGUAUGUUUUAUAGCAUUGGUUUGUACUGACUAGACUCAAGAAAUGAGUGAGUGGAAUUUAUUUUAAUGAUAAGCACUUUUAUGAUAUUUUUAUUGUUAAACUAAAAUGGCUGUGUAGUUCUAUUGUUAAACAAAAAUGGCUGUGUAGUAAAAUGUAACCCAUCAUUUUUUAUUAAUAUUAAUACAGUGAUACAGAUAG
RNAcentral lists this small RNA (593 nucleotides) under Pongo abelii (Sumatran orangutan). RNAcentral's name for it is "retained intron". The record is from RNAcentral. Lineage: Eukaryota; Metazoa; Chordata; Mammalia; Primates; Hominidae.